Molecule: ribosomal RNA, 253 nt
Filed under: uncultured bacterium
Lineage: Bacteria
Description: partial 16S ribosomal RNA
Rfam family: Bacterial small subunit ribosomal RNA
Source: RNAcentral
UACGUAGGGCGCAAGCGUUGUCCGGAAUUAUUGGGCGUAAAGAGCUCGUAGGCGGCCUGUUGCGUCCGCUGUGAAAUCCCGGGGCUUAACCCCGGGCGUGCAGUGGAUACGGGCAGGCUGGAGGCAGGCAGGGGAGAACGGAAUUCCCGGUGUAGCGGUGAAAUGCGUAGAUAUUGGAAGGAACACCAGUGGCGAAGGCGGCCACCUGGACAAACACUGACACUGAGGCACGAAAGCGUGGGUAGCGAACAGG